GCUAAGAAUAUUCCGCAAUGGACGAAAGUCUGACGGAGCGACGCCGCGUGGAUGACGAAGGCCGAAAGGUUGUAAAGUCCUUUUGUCGAUGAAGAAUAAGGGUAGGAGGGAAUGCCUGCCUGAUGACGUUAGUCGGCGAAUAAGCCCCGGCUAAUUACGUGCCAGCAGCCGCGGUAACACGUAAGGGGCAAGCGUUGUUCGGAAUUAUUGGGCGUAAAGGGUACGUAGACGGUUUGGUAAGCCCGGCGUGAAAUCCUGCAGCUUAGCUGUAGAGCUGCGCUGGGAACUGCGAAACUUGAGUCAUGGAAGGGGAGUUAGAAUUCCAGGUGUAGGGGUGAAAUCUGUAGAUAUCUGGAAGAAUACCGGUGGCGAAGGCGAACUCCUGGCCAAUGACUGACGCUGAGGUACGAAAGUGCGGGGAGCAAACAGGAUUAGAAACCCCGGUAGUCC
Molecule: ribosomal RNA, 450 nt
Filed under: uncultured bacterium
Lineage: Bacteria
Description: partial 16S ribosomal RNA
Rfam family: Bacterial small subunit ribosomal RNA
Source: RNAcentral